This is a long non-coding RNA of Spinacia oleracea (spinach), 756 nucleotides long. RefSeq lists it as uncharacterized. The record is from RefSeq and is a predicted model, not a curated record. Lineage: Eukaryota; Viridiplantae; Streptophyta; Magnoliopsida; Caryophyllales; Amaranthaceae. The transcript is spliced from 2 exons.
AGUCAUAAAACUGCAUGAGUAUCACACUUUGUGCUCUAAUUUUGCAUAAAUCUUCAAAGCCAGAUCCUCAAAAAGAGAAAAAAAAGGUAGUAACCUCACGGGCUCUGAAAAUGAUGGCUCUAUACUCUGCUUAAGUAUUAGAAAAGACAACUGCAAUUUGUGGGGAUAUUAUUAAAACUGCUUUAAGUAUGAAUAAUGUAUGUGUUAUUAAAUGUAGUAGAGAUAGGGUUAGGAGGGCACACUCUCUUGCUGCCAUGGCAAGAAGGGGUGGAAACUAAGAUUUUUUUUCUGUGGUUUGUUAGUUUGUACCUACUGCCAAAAAAAAAAAAACACAGGUGAUGCAUUCUCUGCAGUUUCUGAUUGAGGUACGGAUGGGAUAUCAGCUAAUACAAGCUGCUGAAUCCUAGGUGGUAGAUAGAAUUGAAGGAGAAUGGUAGAUAAAAGGAUGGCAAGAAGGGCAUAGAUUGAAGUUUUUUUGGACUGAUUUUUGGACAAAUAAAUUAAAUACUAGAUAGCUUUUAGAUUGCUGGAACCAUUAGUUAUUUUUCGAGAUUCAUUAGUUUUCUAAUUGAUGUAUUUAUAAAUUAACUAUUCUUUUUGUUAUUAGAAUGAUUGUUAUGGAUAUUUUAUUUUAAUAAUAAGUAGAACUUAAUUUCAAAUAAAUGUUUUCUAUUUGUAGUAGUUGGAUAUUUUGGUAUAAUAUUUUCACUCUAAUGAGCUACUAAAUAAACGCGUAUGAAACUGUUGCUAUAAGCU